UACAGAGGGUGCGAGCGUUGUCCGGAAUCACUGGGCGUAAAGGGCGCGUAGGUGGUGGCUUAAGCGUGCGGUGAAAGCUCGGGGCUCAACUCCGAGUCGGCCGUGCGAACUGGGCUCACUGGAGCAUAGUAGAGGCAGGUGGAAUUCCGGGUGUAGCGGUGGAAUGCGUAGAGAUCCGGAAGAACACCGGUGGCGAAGGCGGCCUGCUGGGCAGUUGCUGACACUGAGGCGCGACAGCGUGGGGAGCAAACAGG
RNAcentral lists this ribosomal RNA (254 nucleotides) under uncultured bacterium. RNAcentral's name for it is "partial 16S ribosomal RNA". It matches the Rfam family "Bacterial small subunit ribosomal RNA", at positions 524 to 776 of the family's 1533-position model. The record is from RNAcentral.